UCGAAGAAGAUGGCCACGGAGACAGCAGCGUGGUCAGAGUGGUAGGAGCCGGCCAUCGGCGAGAGCUGCUCCGUGCCUGGCUGCUGGGUGCUAGAGCCUGCGGCCCACUGGCUUGCCUCACUGUGGUUGGUGGUGGCGGUGACAGAGACUGCAGCACGACCAGAGUGGCUUUUCUGGCUUUGCCCACCCAGCUGCUCUGUGCCAGGAGGAGGAGGAGACACCUAGAUUCUGCGACACCACGGCUCGCCUCGCUGCGGGUGGGUGGCAGCGACGGAGACUGCAGUGCGCCGGAGCGGUAGGAGAGCGGCCGCGCUAGGAGGGCAGGCGGCUGCAGCCAGGGUUGGGGGUCAGGCUUACAGCGAUGGACGGGCUGCAGCAGUGGCCAGGUGGUAGGAGCCUUGUAGGGAGGGCUGGUGCAUUGGCAAUGGGC
Molecule: long non-coding RNA, 430 nt
Filed under: Pongo abelii (Sumatran orangutan)
Lineage: Eukaryota; Metazoa; Chordata; Mammalia; Primates; Hominidae
Description: lincRNA
Source: RNAcentral